AUGCUCCCUUCAGAAGCACGUACACUAAAACGGGAAUGACACAGAGAAAACUAGCAGGGCCUUUGCACAAGGAUGGCAUGCAAAUUCACAUAGCAUUCUACAUUUUA
Molecule: small nuclear RNA, 107 nt
Organism: Cercocebus atys (sooty mangabey)
Lineage: Eukaryota; Metazoa; Chordata; Mammalia; Primates; Cercopithecidae
Source: Ensembl